CCUACGGGAGGCAGCAGUAGGGAAUCUUCCGCAAUGGGCGAAAGCCUGACGGAGCAACGCCGCGUGAGUGAUGAAGGUCUUCGGAUCGUAAAGCUCUGUUGUUAGGGAAGAACAAGUGCCUGAGUAACUGCGCGUACCUUGACGGUACCUGACCAGAAAGCCACGGCUAACUACGUGCCAGCGCCGCGGUAAAAAGCGCCGC
RNAcentral lists this ribosomal RNA (202 nucleotides) under uncultured bacterium. RNAcentral's name for it is "partial 16S ribosomal RNA". It matches the Rfam family "Bacterial small subunit ribosomal RNA", at positions 338 to 531 of the family's 1533-position model. The record is from RNAcentral.